GUGCACGCUGGCGGUAGGCCUCACACCUGCCAGUCGGACGGCAGCACCGUAAGAGCUUGCUCUUACGGGUGGCGAGUGGCGGACGGGUGAGGAAUACAUCGGAAUCUGCUUUUUCGUGGGGGAUAACGUAGGGAAACUUACGCUAAUACCGCAUACGACCUACGGGUGAAAGCAGGGGAUCUUCGGACCUUGCGCGAUUGAAUGAGCCGAUGUCGGAUUAGCUAGUUGGCGGGGUAAAGGCCCACCAAGGCGACGAUCCGUAGCUGGUCUGAGAGGAUGAUCAGCCACACUGGAACUGAGACACGGUCCAGACUCCUACGGGAGGCAGCAGUGGGGAAUAUUGGACAAUGGGCGCAAGCCUGAUCCAGCCAUACCGCGUGGGUGAAGAAGGCCUUCGGGUUGUAAAGCCCUUUUGUUGGGAAAGAAAAGCAGCAGGUUAAUACCCCGCUGUUCUGACGGUACCCAAAGAAUAAGCACCGGCUAACUUCGUG
Molecule: ribosomal RNA, 491 nt
Filed under: uncultured bacterium
Lineage: Bacteria
Description: partial 16S ribosomal RNA
Rfam family: Bacterial small subunit ribosomal RNA
Source: RNAcentral